CACUUUGUGAUUCAUGACUGUGGUGAAGUCGUAACAAGGUAACCGUAGGGGAACCUGCGGUUGGAUCACCUCCUUA
This 76-nucleotide ribosomal RNA is filed under the name Klebsiella pneumoniae. Its description in RNAcentral is "partial 16S ribosomal RNA". It matches the Rfam family "Bacterial small subunit ribosomal RNA", at positions 1458 to 1533 of the family's 1533-position model. Lineage: Bacteria; Pseudomonadati; Pseudomonadota; Gammaproteobacteria; Enterobacterales; Enterobacteriaceae. The record is from RNAcentral.